CUCAGAGAAAGCUUUGGACUAUAAGGAAGAAGCAGCAAAAAUUCUGCAGAGCUCAAAGACUGAGGAUGACCUUAUAGAAAAGUACAGGCAAAAAUGGAGAGAAGGGGAAAAGCCCAACACUUUUAGCCUCUGAGGAUCCUAAUGGCCUUAUCCACUGCUGCCGCUCACAGAUCUCCAUACUCUUGACUACAGAAGAACCCCCAGCAGUUGCACUGAUGCUGACCUCAGCUGUGGGGGUUGCAUUACAUCACUGUGCCUUCUUGGCCCCAAAGACACUGCAUACCAUCCAGCUGGUAUUCUUGCAGCUACCUUCAGGAAUUUUGUGUUCAUGUUACAAAGAGCCACAGCGAGAGAGGGAACAGAAGCAAGGGCAGUAGCAGUGGG
RNAcentral lists this long non-coding RNA (384 nucleotides) under Mustela putorius furo (domestic ferret). RNAcentral describes it as "lncRNA (ENSMPUG00000031679.1)". The record is from RNAcentral. Lineage: Eukaryota; Metazoa; Chordata; Mammalia; Carnivora; Mustelidae.